CAGCAUGGACAGCUAUUGUCUGUUGGAGGUUGGCAGAGAGUAGGCACCAAGAGCCCUUCAAAACACAUGACCUUCCUGCUCACAACAUAAAGACCAGUUCCCUCUGGCCUCUACAGUUUGGCUCAGCACCAGGGAACCUGUGUCCUCUCUGAGACCAAGGCACCACUCCAGUGACAGGUUUCCUGAGGUGAAUGAAGUCAGAAGUGGCAUUCAUGAAGCUGUGAAUAUCUCCAGAUUAUCCAGGUGUUCUCACUGCAGCUGGAACAGGAUGGAAGUGAUGACAGAAGAAAGAUACCAGUCCAUUUCUCUCCCCCUGCCACCCCAACUCAAAUUCUGGGCCACAUCCUCCAGGAAGAUCUCUGUCCCGUGGAAGCCCCUGGCCUGGCCUCCCGCAGUGCCACGCUCCGUGUAUUUGACAAGCUGAGUUGGACACUCCGUGUGGUAGAGUGUCAGUUUGUCAAAUACCCCAAGUGCGGCACAUGCUUAGCAGCUCCAUACCAGGGCAGAUGGAAUACAACAUAUUUGCUGCCAAGUGGAUGUAAGAAUGCUCAUUAAACAACAAGGUCUCCUAAUUUAUUUUUUUGUAACUUUGAGGGAACCCAAGCAAUGCAUCUGAGGGUUUCAGGGGGAAAGUGCAGCAUCUCUGGUAAUUACAGCCCUGGUCUUCGUCUACACACAUCAUGAGAAUGCCUAGGAGCACACAAUAGUCUUGAAAAGACAUAAGGGAUACAGGGAUAGACGUGCUCUUUGAUUUGUUAUUCUCUUCUUUCUUCACAUUCCCCUUCCAGAGUGUCACAGUCAGGACACCAGAAUCAAAUACUACAGGUUAUAUGAGAAAGCUGGGCAUGGAAAUCCACUCUUUUUAUGUUCAUUCUUGUCUUCUAAACACAGACUGGCUUUUCUACCUCUUCCUUUUUUCCUCAAACCUCUUCUUGAAACAACUUCUCCAUUUCUCUUGGCCUAAUUCUUUCCCAUACUUCCUGGCCCCACCACAGUGUAGUCUCCCCAGGGACUUUUGAAAGUCAUCCCAUGCUUACCCUUCUUCACUUGCACAGCACUCCUUGCCUGAGUCCUGUUAUAUGCCCCAAUAUCUCAUUCCACCCAAUAUAAUCUUUUGGAUCAUGAGUGAACUUUUCCAAGGCUUACUCUUGAAUUCCCCACUAUAUUUUGAGCUUCUAGAAGACAAGAAUAUAUCUCCUUGAUUGCUAUCUCCCCUACCAUAACCCCAUAUUUUGGUUACGGAAAAUAUUCAAUAAAUGUUUGCUGAUUGAUUGACUUUCUA
Molecule: long non-coding RNA, 1282 nt
Organism: Marmota flaviventris (yellow-bellied marmot)
Lineage: Eukaryota; Metazoa; Chordata; Mammalia; Rodentia; Sciuridae
Source: RefSeq, a predicted model, not a curated record